UUCUCAAGAUCAUCAAUAACUGUAUACCAAAGAUUCUACAUUGUUUGUCUGUCGUAAGUUAAAUCCUUGCCGGAAUUCACUGGUAUCAAGCAAAUAAGACGAAUGGAUUAAUCCACGCAUCAGAUUUCGUCAAGUAAAAACUGAAAACAAAAAGUAGCCACUAGAUGAGUUACUGCUACAAACCAUACAUGUUCUACCAAGCCACAAAGACAUUAAGAAAACUACACAAUUAAUCACUUGAAGAUCCAUCAUCAUCUUCAUGCUCUGCCACAACCUUCUCGAGGAAACUCUUUCGUACUCCAUCCAAAACAGCUUCUCUGGAUUGUUCAUGUUUUCUACGUCCAUCAUUUAGUACAGGAUCCGAUUGGCAGAGUGUUAGUGCAACACCUAAAACCGAAUAGAUGAAGAGCAAUCAUAUCAACUGACAAGCCAGCAAAUAGUAUUAAAAGAAGCAAAUUGCUACCAGAACAAUUUGAUAAAAGCAAACCUAAUACCUGAUAAAACACUAGAAAAGAAAACACUAAAACCAUGCACAAAGACGAAAAGUUGCUAUAGAAAUACAUGUGGAAAUAACUAGCCGAAAACGGUUAGAUGCAGCAGACAAAACCUUCCUGAAAACAGGGCAAGGUCCAAAAUUGUCUUAAAAGUGCAGGCAAACUUAGCAAGAGAACAGCUACCAACAUAACCAAGAAACUGAUGAAGAUUAAUAGUCAUGUCUAAUGUUGUGCACACCUCUGCUUUCAGCAAAUGUUUUAUAUAAGAGAAGAUAUAUGCCUUACAACAUUAAAAGGAAUUCAAGAGACACUCAACCUUUGUCUAAAUAUGAGUAGGCAAAAAGAGGUAACACGUGAAACUUUCCCAAAAGAAUGUCAGCACGUCAAGAACGUUUUGAACGUAAAUGGGCAUAUUUCCACCUACUACACUGACGCCAAAUAAAUGCAAGAUACCAGAAAGAAUACCACAUAUCAAUCAGCCAUGUUAGUAGCUUUAUGACUGCACCUUAUUAAUCUAUCACCCUAAGGACUCCAGUAAUCUCUACCCUUUCAUCUUUCUGUACAGUGCAUGCACAACUAUAUAAAGAAAUGAAGCUCUUCUUUCUCUUGCACACUUGUAAUAAUAAAAAUUAAGUCUCACUUCUCAGGACGAUGCCUAGUGCAAAGAGAUGAAACUAGCUAGUCAUGUGUAAAUGACAAAGUAACAGAAUACAUCAAGUAUAAAAUAGCUGGAAUGUGAAAAGUGUUAUAAAAUAUAACCCAAAAUAACAAUAAAAGUGAAGAAAAUAUGUCAUGGAAUAUGUCAUUGAACAUACAAAAUAUGUCAUUGAAUAUGUCAUUNAACAUUUGAGAUGAAGAUCAUGGAAGAAGA
RNAcentral lists this long non-coding RNA (1365 nucleotides) under Nicotiana tabacum (common tobacco). RNAcentral describes it as "long non-coding RNA (NTAB_LNC005231)". The record is from RNAcentral. Lineage: Eukaryota; Viridiplantae; Streptophyta; Magnoliopsida; Solanales; Solanaceae.